GAUGAACGCUGGCGGCGUGCCUAAUACAUGCAAGUCGAGCGAACAGACGAGGAGCUUGCUCCUCUGACGUUAGCGGCGGAAGGGUGAGUAACACGUGGAUAACCUACCUAUAAGACUGGGAUAACUUCGGGAAACCGGAGCUAAUACCGGAUAAUAUAUUGAACCGCAUGGUUCAAUAGUGAAAGACGGUUUUGCUGUCAUUUAUAGAUGGAUCCGCGCCGCAUUAGCUAGUUGGUAAGGUAACGGCUUACCAAGGCAACACUCCGUAGCCGACCUGAGAGGGUGAUCGACCACACUGGAACUGAGACACAGUCCAGACUCCUACGGGAUGCAUCAGUGUAGCAUCUUCCCCAAUGGCCAAAGGCCUAACGUACCAACGCCCCGUGAGUGAUGAAGGUCUUCUGAUCGUAAAACUCUGUUAUUAGGGAAUAACCAAUCUGUAAGUAACUAUUCACGUCUUAACGGUACCUAAUCAGAAAGCCACGGCUAACUACGUG
RNAcentral lists this ribosomal RNA (497 nucleotides) under uncultured bacterium. RNAcentral's name for it is "partial 16S ribosomal RNA". It matches the Rfam family "Bacterial small subunit ribosomal RNA", at positions 28 to 507 of the family's 1533-position model. The record is from RNAcentral.